GUCAUAUCACGUUGAAACACUGAUUCCCGUACGACCAUCGAAGUUAAACAAUGUUGAUCCUGGUCAGUAGCUAGAUGGGUUACCAUUUGGGAAUACGAGGUGCU
This is a non-coding RNA of Acanthosepion pharaonis, 104 nucleotides long. NCBI's taxonomy places the organism in Eukaryota, Metazoa, Mollusca, Cephalopoda, Sepiida, Sepiidae. The record is from the annotation of a GenBank genome assembly.